This 487-nucleotide long non-coding RNA is filed under the name Mytilus galloprovincialis (Mediterranean mussel). The record is from RNAcentral. Lineage: Eukaryota; Metazoa; Mollusca; Bivalvia; Mytilida; Mytilidae.
AGAAAUAUCGUACUGCUCUGUUUUGUAUCAUAUCAAUGCCAUGAUAAGUAUUGUAGCCCCAAACACCAGAGCAAUAAUCUAAAACAGGGCUGAUACAGAAGUUAAACACAGUUUCAAAGGUUUUAAAUCCAAUUUCUUUGUAUGAAUGAACUUUUGAAAUAGCAGCACCAAGUGCUCUACCACCGGCUUUGGCAAAUGCAUCCGCUGCAGCAGUAUACUUAAGUUUCUCGCUAAAAAUAACGCCCAGGUACUUGUAUUGCUCAACUAUUUGUAGUUGUUCAUUUCCAAUUUUGAAUGUUGAACUGGUCCGUGGAAUUCGACCUUUCCGGAAGUGCAUAACACUUGAUUUUGCACUAUUUACGUUUAAUCUCCAUUUCUCACACCAUUUAUUAAGUACAUCAAGAACAACUUGCAUAUCGCGUUCGUUUUCAGUCACUAAAGCAAUAUCAUCGGCGUACAACAAUAUACUGAUGUUUUCAUUUUCUAC